CUGGUCGCGCAUUGAAAGUAGCUCGUCUUGUUGUUCACCUUCCUAAUUUCCGGAUUUCCCUAUGGUCUCCGCGGUAAACGUCACAACGCUUUGAACUGUGGGUAAUUCUCUUAGGUAAAGUCUGCACUGAUGCAGACUCACGGUAAGUGUGGACUCAAACCCUCAUGCCCUUUGGAUUCGACAUUGGGACAGCCUUAAAGCCUUAAUAAUUUCGCGAGAACGCGUAUGAAAGUCCGGACAUUUGGAUUGGGCGCAUCUCUCUCCCGAGUCAUACCUAGCCUGAAACGACGAUGCCACAAAGGAUCAAAUUCGUUUUUCAUCAACUCCAAAGAACUUUACGGAGGGGAAGACUGAACAGCAAUGACAGAAAUUUGUGAAACUCGGCCCACAUUUGUUGCUCAGUGUAUGAUCCGACAACGCUCCAACGCAGCCCCAGCCGGCAGGUCUUUGAUGGUCUCAGACGGAAUCCAACUCAAACUGUGAUCCGAUCAGCCAGAAGGCCCACCUCCCACGGUGGUGGUGAUCCCGUUGUCAUUUCCGAGGGAUGCCGGACUGUUCAAUAUGGAAAGCUGGAGUGAGAGGCGUGCUUGGGAGAAUUUAAAGGGGAGCGCUGGGCUAGCUGAGACAGGAGGAGGCAGUGCAGGUGGAGUCCCAGACAGACGGAUGUUGAUGGCCUGGGGGAGGUGGUGGUGAGGGGGUACGACAGACAGGGAAGAAAGAGGAUGCCGAGCGCUUUCCCGCGACUCGCCUCCGAUCCUGCCUGUUCUCUGAUCCCUGCCUUUCUGACCAUCCUGCCUGCCGCCCAGCCCCUGUCGGCCUGUCUGCUCCUCUGCCCCCGACUCCUGAUCCUCCAGCCUGCCUCCCCUGCUUUCGACCCUUCGCCUGCCUGACCUCCCGAUCACCGUAGAGUUAUUGUUGGUCUGUCUGUUCACCUGUUCCCUACUGCCCAUCUGCCCUCCCGUUGCCGACCUCUGCCUGCUGACUACUCUUUGCCUGCCGAUCCUGUAUCUGAAUAAACUCUUGAAACCGUUCUACGCUCGUCGUCAGUCUGUGCACUUGGGUUCUGCCAAACGCCCACGUUACACACAGUUUACAUGGCUGAAGUGGGUCUGCUCUGGGUCAAUAGGGCUCUGAGAUUCAGGAGA
Molecule: long non-coding RNA, 1145 nt
Filed under: Gadus morhua (Atlantic cod)
Lineage: Eukaryota; Metazoa; Chordata; Actinopteri; Gadiformes; Gadidae
Description: lncRNA (ENSGMOG00000022774.1)
Source: RNAcentral